CGGCGCGGUAGAUGAAACUAUGUGUCGGGGCCCAUCCGGGCCUUCGGUGCCGCAGCUAACUGCAUAAGCCAUUCCACCUGAGGGAGUACGUUCGCAAGAAUGAAACUCAAAGGAGUUGACGGGGACCCCCACAAGCGGUGGAGCAUGUGGUUUAAUUCCAAGCAACGCCGAGAACCUUACCAGGUCUUGACAUCUCUUUGACCGGUCCGUAACGGGACCUUUCCUUCGGGACAAAGGUGACAGGCGGUGCAUGGUUGUCGUCACCUCCUGUCGUGAGAUGUUGGGUUAAGUCCCGCAACGAGCGCAACCCUUAUCUUUAGUAGCCAGCACUUUCGGAUGGGCACUCUAGAGAGACUGCCAGGGAUAACCUGGAGGAAGGCGGGGAUGACCUCUAAUCAUCAUGCCCCUUAUGAUCUGGGCUACCCACGUGCUACAAUGGUGACUACAAAAAGACGCCAAGCUGUUAAGUGGAACCAAUCCUCCCCAAAAGGUCAUCUCCCCUUCCGAUUGUAAUCCUGCAACUCCCACUACCUGAAACUUGGGAAAUCCCCAGUAAAUCCCAAAUUCAUAAAUGUUGUGGGGGAAAAACCUUUUCCCCGGGUCCUUUGUGAAACACCCCCCCGUUCCCACCCCUGGGGAAGUUGGAUAUUGCCCCCAAAGUCAAUUGAACCCCCUCCCAUC
RNAcentral lists this ribosomal RNA (681 nucleotides) under uncultured Clostridium sp. Its description in RNAcentral is "bacterial SSU rRNA". It matches the Rfam family "Bacterial small subunit ribosomal RNA", at positions 795 to 1533 of the family's 1533-position model. The record is from RNAcentral. Lineage: Bacteria; Bacillati; Bacillota; Clostridia; Eubacteriales; Clostridiaceae.